UGCUCCCCGGGGCACGGAAGAGGAAGAGGGGUCCCCGCGGGAACCCGGCGCAAGAGGGCGCCUUGCCGGGCUCAGGGUCCCGGAUGCAGACGAGAACCUGCCCGGCAGGGGGCCCCCGCACUGCGCAUGCGCGCUCUCAGGCUCUGCAGAACCUGCCUGAGCUCCCAGCUCUGGGGGUCAGUGGCCCGCGCAUUGUGUUCUCGGGGUUCCCUUUGUGCUGAGGAUCACUUUGGCCCUGAGGUAGAUGAACAGACUGUGAAUUGUAUAGGAACAGAAAGUUUUGUUUCUUUUUUUGGAGCAGCCACUGAACCCAGGGCCUCGCGCGCCAGCCAGGCGCUGUGCCGCUGAUCUCUGUGCCUGGCCCAGGAGCAGGAAUUCUAUGGCCACCGGAAACCAGAACAGAAAAUUCUUCCCGAACGUUUAGCAACUGGAUCCCGUGAAUUAAAAUGAUGAAUCACAGUGACUGGGAGACAGUGUGUAAGACAGGAACUGCCCCGUCGUCUUUACACAUAUGAAGACUUCAGAGUCAAAGCACAAGGCAAUCGCCCGAUUUUGGGAGUCACACCGUUCUUCAUAAUAGGGGGAGAAAUUGUAGAGAAAUGUUAGACAUAAAGACCAUGUUCUAACCCACACAAGAUACAGAUUUGUGGCCUGUAUACCAUUUUUAAAAAUGAUGAUGUUUGUGGAGACAUAAUCAGACAUCAAAAAGGGGGUUCGGGGUUCUAGAGACAGAGGUAGAAACGGGUGUAGUGGCAAACACGUCAUCCUAGCACUUGGGAGGCUGAGACAGGAGGAUCACCAUGAGUUUGAGGCCAUCCACCUGGGUUGCAUAGUGAGUUCAAGGCUAUCAUGAGCUAUAAAGUGAAAUUCUGCCUCAAGAAAAGAAAAAAAGAGAACAGAAAAGAGGUACAUAAACAAGCAGAUUGGGUACCAUUGGGGGUUUGCCUAAUUUCAACUCUGGUGCUUGUGUGUGUGUGUGUGUGUGUGUGUGUGUGUGUGUGUGUGUGACUAUACAAUUCACCCUGGUCUUGAACUCACUUUGUAGCCCAGGCUGGCCUGGAACUCACAGCAAUCCUCCUGCCUCAGCCUCCCGUGUGUGCUGGGAUUACAGGCUGUGCUGCCAUGCCAGACAACAUUGACUUUUUGUGACUGGGUAAAGCUCAGCUUCAGUGAUUUGUUACAAAAAUGUAUUCCUAAAGUAAGCUGUAUACUAUGUUAGUUUUCAAUUUAUGCAAGGGCUGUUAUGCCAAGAUUCAUUGUAUAAGUCUUUGUCCCAUUUGGGCCAAAUUUACUUUGACUUGACAAGUGUGUGUUUCUCUUCAAAAGCAAAUUAUGAACUAUUAAAGCAAAUUACAUUAAGUGAAUAUAA
Molecule: long non-coding RNA, 1369 nt
Organism: Cavia porcellus (domestic guinea pig)
Lineage: Eukaryota; Metazoa; Chordata; Mammalia; Rodentia; Caviidae
Exons: 2
Source: RefSeq, a predicted model, not a curated record